Molecule: ribosomal RNA, 301 nt
Filed under: uncultured bacterium
Lineage: Bacteria
Description: partial 16S ribosomal RNA
Rfam family: Bacterial small subunit ribosomal RNA
Source: RNAcentral
CAGUCGCCGCGGUAAUACGAAGGGUGCAAGCGUUACUCGGAAUUACUGGGCGUAAAGCGUGCGUAGGUGGUGGUUUAAGUCCGUUGUGAAAGCCCUGGGCUCAACCUGGGAAUUGCAGUGGAUACUGGGUCACUAGAGUGUGGUAGAGGAUAGUGGAAUUUCCGGUGUAGCAGUGAAAUGUGUAGAGAUCGGAAGGAACAUCUGUGGCGAAGGCGACUAUCUGGUCUGUAACUGACGCUGAGGAGCGAAAGCGUGGGGAGCGAACAGGAUUAGAUACCCCCGUAGUCCCUGUCUCUUAUCC